RNAcentral lists this unclassified non-coding RNA (405 nucleotides) under rhizosphere metagenome. Its description in RNAcentral is "partial ribosomal RNA internal transcribed spacer region". The record is from RNAcentral.
GUAGGUGAACCUGCGGAAGGAUCAUUAACACGUUACUUAAAAACAACGUAUUAAACCAAACGAGUAACUAGUAAUUGCCCUGUGUGGAAUGGAGAGCGAGACGAGGGGAAGGGUGUGCGAGGUGAAAACCGAGCUGUCCCUUGUUUCUAGUAGUGCAAAGGCAUGGCUGCGUUCUGCGCAAUCAUGCUUGACAUUACAGCUUUACGUCUGCAUAGUUGAUAUAAUACCACUCGCUUAUUAAGCCUGCGCCUUGGCUUGCUUUUGGUGUGCCCAUAUUAUUCACCCCUUUAAAUUAACUACUGAUUUGUACGUUUAUCUUUAUUCCUGUUUUCGAACGGUUGAGUUCAUUUAAAUGUCGUAUAUACUAAUACGAAACAACUCUUAGCAACGGAUAUCUUGGUUCUC